AACAACUCUAGGCGCAAAUGCAGACUUUUCAUUAGGCAUCCUAAAAGGGUAUAUAUGGGUAUCCAAAGAAAGUGUAUCUGAUUUCAAAGAAACAAUAUGUCACUAGAGUGAACAGUUUAUGAUCGAAGGUGGAUAAUGGGUUAUGAAAGAUAUGAAUAAUGCCCUAAGGAGGAGGAGGAAUAAUUAGAAGUAUGCUCGCCAAGGAUUUGCAUCCUCGUGCCUAUGUAUUCUCACCGUGCAAUGAGAAAAUCAGAGCAAUUGUAGUUCGUG
Molecule: long non-coding RNA, 270 nt
Filed under: Lathyrus oleraceus (garden pea)
Lineage: Eukaryota; Viridiplantae; Streptophyta; Magnoliopsida; Fabales; Fabaceae
Description: Pisum sativum (pea) long non-coding RNA (PSAT_LNC013225)
Source: RNAcentral